RNAcentral lists this ribosomal RNA (403 nucleotides) under bacterium. Its description in RNAcentral is "partial 16S ribosomal RNA". It matches the Rfam family "Bacterial small subunit ribosomal RNA", at positions 355 to 776 of the family's 1533-position model. The record is from RNAcentral.
UGGGGAAUAUUGCACAAUGGAGGGAACUCUGAUGCAGCGACGCCGCGUGAACGAAGAAGGCUUUCGAGUCGUAAAGUUCUUUUGUAUGGGAAGAUAAUGACGGUACCAUAAGAAGAAGCCCCGGCUAACUACGUGCCAGCAGCCGCGGUAAUACGUAGGGGGCUAGCGUUGUCCGGAAUCACUGGGCGUAAAGGGUUCGCAGGCGGAAAUGCAAGUCAGGUGUAAAAGGCAGUAGCUUAACUACUGUAAGCAUUUGAAACUGCAUAUCUUGAGAAGAGUAGAGGUAAGUGGAAUUUUUAGUGUAGCGGUGAAAUGCGUAGAUAUUAAAAAGAAUACCGGUGGCGAAGGCGACUUACUGGGCUCAUUCUGACGAUGAGGAACGAAAGCGUGGGUAGCAAACAGG